ACUACAGCUCCCAGCGUUCCCUGCGUGCCCACGCCGCCAGACCACAAUUCCCGGCGUGCAUAGCACCCGGGGCGCCGGCCCGGCAACUGCCAAGCUCUGGACUACAGCUCCCAGCAUGCACCGCUAGAGGGGGGCCCGAACGCCACUGAGGGGCUCAAAGUGCCGCGUUCGAGGGCGGGCCGGGGCCGAGCCCGCGGGCGCUGCCCGGGUAAAGACCCAGUCUCAUUGCAGGGUCCGAGCUGGGCGGUUCUCUGGUCCGUGGGGUCGGAGUUUCGUGCUGCUCCCCGGAGAACACUCGGUGAGCAAACACGGCCAGUUCACCCCCACAGACGAGUCCUGAGAGGAUGUGUGUGCCAGGCACCAGCGCAGCACUGGGCAUGUGCCCUCGGCUGUGCAGUCACCCACAGCCCACCCUUUGCUUUUUCUUAGUUUAUGUUUCCUAACAUGGUGUCAGUCACCUCUAUGACCAUUAGUUUAGUUUCUUCGCAACGGCAAACACAAGUGAUGCUGCACCUCAAAACCAGACUUCAGACGCUGCUUCACAGAAUCCAGCAGCUUCCAUCCUGAGCAAUCACUGUGCUACUACUCAGAGGGUUUUGGGCACAAUUCCUGCAGCAAACACAAUCCUUGCUUAAAGACACAUCACGGAGCCUUCAGAAUUUUAUUAGGGAAGAUUAGACAUUGGUUAAGCAGAAAAGCAAUGAAGUCAUGAGCACCAGAACCUCGCUGAGGUCCCUCAGAACAUCUCCCUUUUGCACCCUCUCAGAUCCUACCCAGUCUCUUCCUAGGGAUUGCUUGAGCCAAGGGUAUUUCUUGCCAAGACCACCCUGCACAGGGUAAGGGUGCUGGCAAUAAUUGCUGCACAACCACACCAUCCCUGUGCCAGUCCUGCCCCUUGGGCUGGUCGAGCUUCAGCUGCCAUGCAGCAGCACCAUGCCCACCCAGCUCAGACUGCAUCUGAGGGGAGGAUAAAGGAGAGUGCAGAGUACCAGUUCAGCCAAAGGAACAACCUUCCCACUUCUCAAGCAAUCAAGUAAAGGACACUGUGCCUUUUUCCUUGUCCAUCUGUGCUGUGGGAAACUCAGGUAGGUGAAUCUUUACACAUAGAGACAGUGCCACUUACCCCCCCAUCCUUCCCACUCACACUCUGAAAAAAUAUUGAUAACUGCAAAUCAAAGCCAUUUUUACCCAAAACACAGGUGAACUCCAGCAGGAACAUAGCACUGACCCAUUCAUCUUUUGGAGCUUUACAAUGAAACAGACACCCUUAAAUGUUUCACUUCAGUGUCAGUACUAAUGUCAGCCUCAUUUUUCAUGGUCUUGUUUAAAUCCACACUCUGACCUGGCUAAAGUCCCCCUCCAAGGCACAGCACACCAGCCCCAGCUCCCACUGGAGCACUCAUGAACCCCACUGACACCUCUGUGAGCC
This 1429-nucleotide long non-coding RNA is filed under the name Cyanistes caeruleus (blue tit). Its description in RNAcentral is "lncRNA (ENSCCEG00000021140.1)". Lineage: Eukaryota; Metazoa; Chordata; Aves; Passeriformes; Paridae. The record is from RNAcentral.